GUACUACUCCCUCUGUCCCAAAAUUCUUGUCUUAAAUUUGUCUAAAUACGGAUGUAUCAAGUCACGUUUUAGUAUUAGAUGCAUCCGUAUCUAGACAAAUGUAAGACUAGAAUUUUGGGACAGAGGGAGUACUAC
Non-coding RNA from Triticum aestivum (bread wheat), 135 nucleotides. The record is from Rfam. Lineage: Eukaryota; Viridiplantae; Streptophyta; Magnoliopsida; Poales; Poaceae.